Molecule: ribosomal RNA, 490 nt
Filed under: uncultured bacterium
Lineage: Bacteria
Description: partial 16S ribosomal RNA
Rfam family: Bacterial small subunit ribosomal RNA
Source: RNAcentral
AGUGAACGCUGGCGGCAGGCCUAACACAUGCAAGUCGAACGGCAGCACAAGAGAGCUUGCUCUCUGGGUGGCGAGUGGCGGACGGGUGAGGAAUGCAUCGGAAUCUGCCCAUUUGUGGGGGAUAACCUCGGGAAACCGGGACUAAUACCGCAUACGACCUACGGGUGAAAGCAGGGGAUCUUCGGACCUUGCGCAGAUGGAUGAGCCGAUGCCGGAUUAGCUAGUUGGAGGGGUAAAGGCCCACCAAGGCGACGAUCCGUAGCUGGUCUGAGAGGAUGAUCAGCCACACUGGGACUGAGACACGGCCCAGACUCCUACGGGAGGCGGCAGUGGGGAAUAUUGGACAAUGGGCGCAAGCCUGAUCCAGCCAUGCCGCGUGUGUGAAGAAGGCCUUCGGGUUGUAAAGCACUUUUGUUGGGAAAGAAAAGCAGCCGGUUAAUACCCGGUUGUCAUGACGGUACCCAAAGAAUAAGCACCGGCUAACUUCGUG